UGGCGGACGGGUAAGUAAUGUCUGGGAAACUGCCCGAUGGAGGGGGAUAACUACUGGAAACGGUAGCUAAUACCGCAUAACGUCGCAAGACCAAAGAGGGGACCUUCGGGCCUCUUGCCAUCGGAUGUGCCCAGAUGGGAUUAGCUAGUAGGUGGGGUAACGGCUCACCUAGGCGACGAUCCCUAGCUGGUCUGAGAGGAUGACCAGCCACACUGGAACUGAGACACGGUCCAG
This 234-nucleotide ribosomal RNA is filed under the name uncultured bacterium. RNAcentral describes it as "partial 16S ribosomal RNA". It matches the Rfam family "Bacterial small subunit ribosomal RNA", at positions 96 to 334 of the family's 1533-position model. The record is from RNAcentral.